GUGGGGAAUUUUGGACAAUGGGCGAAAGCCUGAUCCAGCCAUGCCGCGUGCAGGAUGAAGGCCUUCGGGUUGUAAACUGCUUUUGUACGGAACGAAACGGUCCUGGUUAAUACCCGGGGCUAAUGACGGUACCGUAAGAAUAAGCACCGGCUAACUACGUGCCAGCAGCCGCGGUAAUACGUAGGGUGCAAGCGUUAAUCGGAAUUACUGGGCGUAAAGCGCGCGUAGGUGGUUUUGUAAGUUGGAGGUGAAAUCCCCGGGCUCAAACUGGGAACUGCCUCCAAAACUGCAUGACUAGAGUACGGUAGAGGGUAGUGGAAUUUCCUGUGUAGCGGUGAAAUGCGUAGAUAUAGGAAGGAACACCAGUGGCGAAGGCGACUACCUGGACUGAUACUGACACUGAGGUGCGAAAGCGUGGGGAGCAAACAGGAUUAGAUACCCCAGUAGUCC
This 450-nucleotide ribosomal RNA is filed under the name uncultured bacterium. Its description in RNAcentral is "partial 16S ribosomal RNA". It matches the Rfam family "Bacterial small subunit ribosomal RNA", at positions 354 to 796 of the family's 1533-position model. The record is from RNAcentral.